Long non-coding RNA from Xenopus laevis (African clawed frog), 1287 nucleotides. RefSeq lists it as uncharacterized. The record is from RefSeq and is a predicted model, not a curated record. The transcript is spliced from 3 exons. NCBI's taxonomy places the organism in Eukaryota, Metazoa, Chordata, Amphibia, Anura, Pipidae.
UAAAUGUAAUAAGGAGCCAAGUUAUACUCUGGGGCGGGAACUUGUCUCAGUGGAAGUGUUAUUGUCGCACAGCAUUCUGGGAGAUUGAACGUUAAUGAUGGGGCUGAUGGCUUCAGCGAUGGACAGGAGCAAAGUUAUCACUACUAUGAAAAGGGGGCAAAAGCUGCUAUAGCCAAACCCUUUAAUCAUCAAUUUCAUCCCAAAAAGUCCAACCCGUUUCCUGGAUCAGAUGCCAAAGAUCCAGAUGUAGAGAAGAGCCACAAUGUCGGCUUCCCACCACUGAGCAUCUUCAGGAAGAAGAAGAAAGGCCCAAAUGCCCCAUGAGGUUACAGAAGGUGCAGAUCCAGAGAACCCAACUGAGGAAAUGACAGUUGGAGUUUCAGUUACAGACAAGGGAGCAUCAGUCUCAUCAGAAGAGAAACAGCUCCCUGAGCUCAAGCUGACAGCACUUCAGAAACAAAUCCUUCAGGGUUGUGAUUGGCUGGAAGAUGACAUUAUAGACGUGGCACAAGCAAUGCUGAAAUGGCAGUUUGGAGCCGACGGCCUCCAAUCCAUCAUUGAAGCCCAAUGGCAGGUUGUACCUGUGCCUGUCCCAGCUGUACAGAUCCAGUUAGAUAGAGAUCUGAACCACUAGUUGGCAUCUUGUUUCAGAUCCGAUAGAGUGGAGAUCAUGGACAGUUUAAAAUCCCCCAAACUCAGCAAUUCCAUGAAGAGACAAAUCCGGGAAUACUAUUGGGAAGUGGCCCCAGAUCCUCUGGGAAGCCUGAUACAACUAAAGGUGCACCAGCAACCCAAUGGCAAUGACUGUGGGGUAUAUGCCAUAGCCAAUGUGUGUGACUUACUGGCAAACAGAGUCCCCACUGGCUGCAGGUAUGAUAAGAAGAGAAUGAGACAGCACCUCAUUGAAUGUCUGGAGAGGGGAGAGAUCACCUCAUUCCCCAAAAAGGCCCAAAGUUCCUCACAGAGUGUAACAAACAGGCAGAAGAGAGACAAAAAAGAGAAAAAUAAUCCAAUCCAGAUGAGAGUGAAUCCUUUUUAUUUGGAACUGAACCUAUUAAAAAAUUGAUACCAACAGUUCCAGAACUAAAGGAGAGAGAUUUGCCUUACAACAUCCUCCAAUGGGAACUUUCCUACAGAAAAUGCCAGUCCCAAAGAAAUGCUGCUAUUUAAUGCCCUUUCCCUGCUCCCUAUAACGAUGUAAAUAUUUAAUAAUAAUUAAUUUAAUAUAAAAUAUAAUAAUAAUAAUAAAAAAUACAAAUAUAUAAUAAUAAAUAAUAAUACAUGUAU